Ceratotherium simum simum (southern white rhinoceros) is the source of this 1459-nucleotide non-coding RNA. NCBI's taxonomy places the organism in Eukaryota, Metazoa, Chordata, Mammalia, Perissodactyla, Rhinocerotidae. The record is from RefSeq and is a predicted model, not a curated record.
CAGCUAAUACCUAUCUGUUUCCUGUAUAGUCCUCUGGUAGGUUCUAAGUUCAAGAGAGACAGUUAUGUGUCUAGAUAGAAGUAAAAUGCCGUGAAGGUUUAGGAUAAUUAAAUUACUCGUAAAUUGGAGUACCCAGGAAAACUUCCUGGAGGAAGUGGACUGUGCUUUGUGUCUUGAAAAAUAGGUAUCGGAAUGGUUUGUGGGUUUGGUUGAAAGCUAUGGAAAGGAGAGAGAGUGAGAGAAGAAGAAAAAAAGGUAUUUUGCCUGAGGACUUGAAGCUUUUUUUCCCUUUUCGUCCGCUUCACUGACUUUCUCACACUCAGAUUCCCUGCAGCCUGCCAGAGACGUGGUGGCUGCCCUGCCAAGAGCUAUCCUGGGAGGGCUAUUGAAAAAGCCUCGCGAAGUGACUAACAUUACUAGCAAAGAUGGAUUUUCCAGUUGAGGACCUCAGCUACCUGCGGGUGAGUGAUUUGGACAGUGUUGCAGAAUAUGCCCAGCACAGAGCAUGGUUAAAUUCCAGGCUUGCUGCACUGUGAGUCUGUCUCCGAUUUGCUCAUCACUCUACAACCUCUGGAAAAGAAGAGAUCUUGAUUUCUGAGUUCCAGGAGAUAGGAAGCCACUCACAGGGGCCACACAGAAUUGUCAGCCUGCCUCUCAGUCAACCAAGCCAAGUCACAUGUCAUCCCUUCUUUCUUAUAAUUGCCAACCUGUUUCUCUUAUUUGUUCUCUAAAAGGAAGAUUGGGAGAGAGAAUAUUUCCAGUCCUGGAAUCUGCUCCAUCGAUACUGGGUUUUUAUCGCAACCAGAGAAGGUGUGAUGCUAGGAAUAUAGUAAAGGCAUUGGAGCACAAAGACAUUGAGCUGCUGGCUGACUUCACGUUUAGCAGAGGGAGAGCCCCUGGAGACAGAUAUGGCCUCCAACACCCCUGUAGCCUCAGGGCCCCUUAAACACGAGAACAGGCACCAAGUGCUUCAUCAGCCCGGUGGUUGGUUUGUUGGUAUAUGGCAUAUGGCUCCUUGCAGCCCAAUUCCACAAAUGAUUAUGAAUAUGUGGAUCUGUUGCAAAGGCUGCCUGGGGCAGAGUACCUGCCCUUCAACUGCUUGAACAAAGUUGAACCAAAGUUCAAAGAACAAAAGUUGAACAAAGAAUUACAAAGCUACCCAGUGUCUUACUUCUAAUAUCCUUCACCAAUAGCUGGGUCCUUGUCUCAUCUCUCUCACCCACAGCCAGCACAUGUAGGACACUUAGUAGGUGCUUUGUGAAUAUUUACUGAAAGGAUUGAUGAAUGAAUGGCUUGUUCCCCUCUUUGGGAGGAAUCACAGAUGUACCUGUAGCUCAGGGCCUUCCCAGGACUGGCUGGAGCUAUGUGGAUGCUGUGGGCUCUGGAUUUUCCUUUUAGGAGCUGGGCUGAUUACAGUUGUUGGUGGUCGUCACCUGUUAUGGGUUGAAUUGUGUCCCCU